RNAcentral lists this long non-coding RNA (1421 nucleotides) under Oryctolagus cuniculus (rabbit). Its description in RNAcentral is "lncRNA (ENSOCUG00000029736.2)". The record is from RNAcentral. Lineage: Eukaryota; Metazoa; Chordata; Mammalia; Lagomorpha; Leporidae.
AUGAGCCCGCCCACCCGCCCACUGUGCCAUCCACUCAGCCGGGGCCUCCAGGUGACCCAUGCAGGUGGGCGCAGGAACAAUUCAGUGAGCCAUGACAUCCCACAACGUCCACAGGAGGUGGUGCUGGCGAGGGUGGUGACUGGGGGCACCCACAGCCAGAGCCGUGGCCCUGAGGCCGACAGAUUUGCUCCAGGCCCGCCGCCGGGCCAGGCCGGCUCUGCCUUGGGCUCUGGCUUCAGGGGUGGGCCCUGCUGCCCUGCGUGGAGUCCAGCUAUUCCCACGGAGCCUCCUCCAGGGGGUCACUGCACGUCCCAGCGGCAGCCACAGCUCCAGGGAAGCAGCACCCCAGGCCGCCGGAACCGCAGAUGUGCUGGGUGGUCCACGCGGUGCUUCUGCGCCCGUGACAACCAGCAGGAAGGAUGCUGUCCCCAGGCCGCCCCAGGAAAGCAAGGGCAUCCCUGGGGAAGAAGGCUGUGCGUCACCUGCAAGGUGCCCCCAGUGGAAUGGCCAAGCCACGCCCCGUCCACGCCCGUGUCACUCAUCCCUCCACACCCGCUGUCACAGAGGAACGGCCCAGCUCUGUGGUUGAACGAGCUGAGCCCAGCCUGUGCGGCGAGUCCGAGCUUCAAGUUUAUGCUCUGCGUGAAGACCAGGCCGGGUGCCUGGACAAAGACCUCCGACAGCCGGGCUGUACUAUGUACGUACUGUGUGUGCACGUAUGUAUGUGUGUGUACUGUGUGUGUGCAUGCACUGUGUGUGCACGUAUGUAUGUGUGUGUACUGUGUGUGCGCAUGCACUGUGUGUGCACGUAUGUAUGUGUGUGUACUGUGUGUGCGCAUGCACUGUGUGUGCACGUAUGUAUGUGUGUGUACUGUGUGUGCGCAUGCACUGUGUAUGUACUGUGUGUAUGUACUGUGUGUGCAUGUGCUAUGUACUGUGCAUGUACUGUGUGUGUAUGUACUGUGUGUAUGUACUGUGUGUGUACUGUGUGUGCACGUAUGUAUGUACUGUGUGUAUGUAUUGUGUGUGUGCAUGUACUAUGUGUGUGUAUGUACUGUGUGUGUGUACUGUUUGUGUGUACUGUGUGUGUAUGUACUAUAUGUAUGUACUGUGUGUGUACUGUGUGUGUAUGUACUGUGUGUGCAUGUACUGUGCAUGUACGGUGUAUGUACUGUGUGUGUACUGUGCAUGUUCUGUGUGUGUGCUGUGUGUGUGUACUGUGUAUGUACUGUGCGUGUACUGUGUGUGUACUGUGUGUGUGUACUGUGUGUGUACUGUGUGUAUGUACUGUGUGUGUACUGUGUAUGUACUGUGCGUGUACUGUGUGUGUACUGUGUGUGUGUACUGUGUAUGUACUGUGUGUAUGUACUGUGUGUGCCUGUACUGUGCCUGUACUGUGCAUGUACGGUGUGUGUACUGUG